AACGAACGCUGGCGGCAUGCCUAACACAUGCAAGUCGAACGACACCUUCGUGACUGGUUGCUCACGCGUGCGUCGCGCGGGGGAACGUUCCCUUAGAUUCGGAAAAACACCCCUACGGGGGUGCUAAUACCGGGUAAUUUACUCUAACCCAACAUUUGUCGCGCUUGUGUGAGCCGGCGUUGUAUUAACUAGUUGGUAUGGGAAGAGCCUACGAAGGCUAGGCUCCAUAGCUGGGCUGAGAGGAUGAGCAGCCACACUGGGACUGAGACACGGCCCAGACUCUUACGGGAGGGAGGAGAGGGGAAUAUUGGAAUACGGCGUAAAGCAUGAUCCAGUAAGGCCGCGUGAGCGAUGAAGGCCGUAGGGUUGUAAAGCUCGUUUACCCGCGGUGAUAAUGACAGUACCGGGAGAAUAAGCUCCGGCUAACUUCGUG
RNAcentral lists this ribosomal RNA (433 nucleotides) under uncultured bacterium. Its description in RNAcentral is "partial 16S ribosomal RNA". It matches the Rfam family "Bacterial small subunit ribosomal RNA", at positions 29 to 507 of the family's 1533-position model. The record is from RNAcentral.